GACGAACGCUGGCGGCGUGCCUAAUACAUGCAAGUAGAACGCUGAAGAGAGGAGCUUGCUCUUCUUGGAUGAGUUGCGAACGGGUGAGUAACGCGUAGGUAACCUGCCUUGUAGCGGGGGAUAACUAUUGGAAACGAUAGCUAAUACCGCAUAACAAUGGAUGACACAUGUCCUUUAUUUGAAAGGGGCAAUUGCUCCACUACAAGAUGGACCUGCGUUGUAUUAGCUAGUAGGUGAGGUAAUGGCUCACCUAGGCGACGAUACAUAGCCGACCUGAGAGGGUGAUCGGCCACACUGGGACUGAGACACGGCCCAGACUCCUACGGGAGGCAGCAGUAGGGAAUCUUCGGCAAUGGGGGCAACCCUGACCGAGCAACGCCGCGUGAGUGAAGAAGGUUCUCGGAUCGUAAAGCUCGGUUGUAAGUCAAGAACGGGUGUGAGAGUGGAAAGUUCACACUGUGACGGUAGCUUACCAGAAAGGGACGGCUAACUACGUG
Molecule: ribosomal RNA, 497 nt
Filed under: uncultured bacterium
Lineage: Bacteria
Description: partial 16S ribosomal RNA
Rfam family: Bacterial small subunit ribosomal RNA
Source: RNAcentral